This 395-nucleotide RNase P RNA is filed under the name Homoserinimonas hongtaonis. RNAcentral's name for it is "Salinibacterium hongtaonis RNase P RNA component class A". It matches the Rfam family "Bacterial RNase P class A". From Rfam's summary of the family: Ribonuclease P (RNase P) is a ubiquitous endoribonuclease, found in archaea, bacteria and eukarya as well as chloroplasts and mitochondria. Its best characterised activity is the generation of mature 5'-ends of tRNAs by cleaving the 5'-leader elements of precursor-tRNAs. Cellular RNase Ps are ribonucleoproteins. Lineage: Bacteria; Bacillati; Actinomycetota; Actinomycetes; Micrococcales; Microbacteriaceae. The record is from RNAcentral.
UGGGUCGGCAAGACGGUCGCGUCAGCCUGGUUCUUCGGAACCAGACUGCCGAGGAACGUCCGGGCUCCAUAGGGCAGGACGGUGGGUAACACCCACCCGGGGUAACCCGCGAGAAAGUGCAACAGAAAGCAGACCGCCUCCGGCGCUCCCUUCGGGAAGCAUCGGCGGUAAGGGUGAAACGGUGGUGUAAGAGACCACCAGCAGCCCGAGUGAUCGGGCUGGCUGGGUAAACCUCGUCCGGAGCAAGGUCAGACAGAAAGCGCUUAGGGCUGCCCGCCCAGCUUUCGGGUAGACCGCUAGAGGGCUGCGGCAACGUAGUCACGAGAUAGAUGGCCGUCCAGCGCGGGGCUUUGGCUCGGCGUGAACAGAACCCGGCGUAUCAGCCGGCCCAUUCG